AAAGAAAUAUUCUUAAAAAAGCUUCUAACUUUUAUAAAAGCAUUAAAUUGUUUAU
This 55-nucleotide transfer RNA is filed under the name Xylobanus sp. UPOL A00097. Its description in RNAcentral is "partial tRNA-Ser". Lineage: Eukaryota; Metazoa; Arthropoda; Insecta; Coleoptera; Lycidae. RNAcentral also lists the same sequence under 1 other name. The record is from RNAcentral.